AGAUUGAACGCUGGCGGCAUGCCUUACACAUGCAAGUCGAACGGCAGCACGGGAGCAAUCCUGGUGGCGAGUGGCGAACGGGUGAGUAAUACAUCGGAACGUGCCCAGUAGUGGGGGAUAACCCGGCGAAAGCCGGACUAAUACCGCAUACGACCUACGGGUGAAAGCAGGGGAUCGCAAGACCUUGCGCUAUUGGAGCGGCCGAUGUCAGAUUAGCUUGUUGGCGGGUAAAAGCCCACCAAGGCGACGAUCUGUAGC
RNAcentral lists this ribosomal RNA (258 nucleotides) under uncultured bacterium. RNAcentral's name for it is "partial small subunit ribosomal RNA". It matches the Rfam family "Bacterial small subunit ribosomal RNA", at positions 26 to 287 of the family's 1533-position model. The record is from RNAcentral.